UACGUAGGGUGCGAGCGUUGUCCGGAAUUAUUGGGCGUAAAGGGCUCGUAGGCGGUUUGUCGCGUCGGGAGUGAAAACCUUGGGCUUAACUCAGGGCUUGCUUUCGAUACGGGCAGACUAGAGGUAUGCAGGGGAGAACGGAAUUCCUGGUGUAGCGGUGAAAUGCGCAGAUAUCAGGAGGAACACCGGAGGCGAAGGCGGCUUGCUGGACCUGGUCUGACGCUGAGGCGCGAAAGCGUGGGGAGCGAACAGG
Molecule: ribosomal RNA, 253 nt
Filed under: uncultured bacterium
Lineage: Bacteria
Description: partial 16S ribosomal RNA
Rfam family: Bacterial small subunit ribosomal RNA
Source: RNAcentral